AACGCUGGCGGCGUGCCUAAUACAUGCAAGUCGAACGGUCUUUCUAUGGAAGCUUGCUUCCACUGAAGAAGAUAGUGGCGAACGGGUGAGUAACACGUGGGUAACCUGCCCAUAAGAGGGGGAUAACAUCCGGAAACGGGUGCUAAUACCGCAUAGUUUUCUUGAUCGCAUGAUUGAGAAAGGAAAGACGGCCUUUGUGCUGUCGCUUAUGGAUGGACCCGCGGCGUAUUAGUUAGUUGGUGAGGUAAUGGCUCACCAAGACGAUGAUACGUAGCCGACCUGAGAGGGUGAUCGGCCACAUUGGGACUGAGACACGGCCCAAACUCCUACGGGAGGCAGCAGUAGGGAAUCUUCCGCAAUGGACGAAAGUCUGACGGAGCAACGCCGCGUGAGUGAAGAAAGGUUUUCGGAUCGUAAAACUCUGUUGUCAGAGAAGAACAAGUUGGAGAGUAACUGCUCCAGCCUUGACGGUAUCUGACCAGAAAGCCACGGCUAACUACGUGCCAGCCGCGGC
RNAcentral lists this ribosomal RNA (514 nucleotides) under uncultured bacterium. RNAcentral's name for it is "bacterial SSU rRNA". It matches the Rfam family "Bacterial small subunit ribosomal RNA", at positions 32 to 518 of the family's 1533-position model. The record is from RNAcentral.